CAAACGGGUGAGUAAUGCGUGACCAACCUGCCCCAUGCUCCAGAAUAGCUCUUGGAAACGGGUGGUAAUGCUGGAUGCUCCAACUUGACGCAUGUCUUGUUGGGAAAGUGUUUAGUGGCAUGGGAUGGGGUCGCGUCCUAUCAGCUUGUAGGCGGGGUAAUGGCCCACCUAGGCUUCGACGGGUAGCCGGCCUGAGAGGGCGGACGGCCACAUUGGGACUGAGAUACGGCCCAGACUCCUACGGGAGGCAGCAGCG
Molecule: ribosomal RNA, 256 nt
Filed under: uncultured Gardnerella sp.
Lineage: Bacteria; Bacillati; Actinomycetota; Actinomycetes; Bifidobacteriales; Bifidobacteriaceae
Description: partial 16S ribosomal RNA
Rfam family: Bacterial small subunit ribosomal RNA
Source: RNAcentral